Molecule: long non-coding RNA, 2130 nt
Organism: Neofelis nebulosa (Clouded leopard)
Lineage: Eukaryota; Metazoa; Chordata; Mammalia; Carnivora; Felidae
Exons: 4
Source: RefSeq, a predicted model, not a curated record
AGUGAAACCAGGGCAGAUGGGGACUCCCCAACACUGGGCUUCCCCGCCCCCGACGCCGCCCUGGGGCCAGAGUCCCUGAGAGGCGGGCCUGGGGACCUGGGACUUGGCCUGGACGCCUCACCUACUGCACAGAGCGCUCUUAGUCCCACUGUGUCCCUGAGCCGUGGACCGGGAGCUGUUAGUUUAAAGGUCUUCAAUAACGAAUUCUUGUGGCCAGCAACCUAUGUGGCCAAGGCAUGGACAUUAAGCAGGUGAACUCUGCCAUCAACUACCACCGGCCUGGCGAUUCCAACACCUACCUGAGGCCUGAGCAGGCCAGUUCCCCCAAGGGCUUGGCCAUCACAUUUGUGUCAAGUGAAAAGAUCCUCAGUGAGGUGCAGGGUCACACUGAGGGCAAUAGCAGUGAGCGGCCUGAUGAGAUGAACAUUUUCUCCUCCAUUGCAGUCAUGGGAGAGGACGCACCAUUUCACAGAGCCGGAUGCAGGUCUCACACCCAGGAACCAGGAGAUCAUACAUGACCUGAGAUGAAAUCAAGAGUCGGAUGCCCAACCAACUUACCUACCAAGGCACCCCUACAGUUAUACUUCCUAAUUAAUUUCUUUUAAAAAAUAUUUUAACUUUGAAUAUAGCUGAAAGACACGAUUAUGUUAGUUACAGGUGUACAACACAGUGACUCAAAUUUUGUAUACAUUUUCUUUUUUUUGACAGAGACACAGCCAGAGCAGGUAAGAGAGGCAGAGAGGGGGAGAGAGAGAGAGAGAGAGAGAGAGAGAGAGAGAGAGAGAGAGAAAGAAAGAAAGAAAGAGAGAGAGAGAGAGAGGGAAUAAGAGAAUCUCAAGCAGGCUGAUUCCUGCAGGGCUGGAUCCCAUGACCCUGGGACUAUGAGCGGAGAACCCACUGCCACCCAGGGGACCUUCACCCUCUGUCUACACCAUGCUGUGCUCACCAGAGUGUAGCUGCCACCUGUCACCAGACAGUGAUGUUACAGUAUCACUCAUGAUAUUCCCUGUGCUGUGCCUUUUAUUCCUAAGACCUGUUCCUUCCAUAACUGGAGCCUGUGUCUCCCACUCCCCUCACCCACUGUGCCCAUCCUCCCAACCUCCUUCCCUCUGGCAGUCAUCCGUGAGUUCUCUGUAUUUAUAGGUCUGAUUCUGCUCUUUGCUUGUCUAUUUAUUCAUUUGUCUUGUUUUGUAAGUUCCACACAGGAGUGAGAUCAUGUGGUACUUGUCUUCUCAGUCUGAUUUCUUUCACGUAGCAGACACACUGCCCUGUUUGUCCAUCCACGUUGUCACAAGUGGCAAGAUCUCAUCCUUUUUGUGGCUGCAUAAUAUUCUAUCAUGUGUGUUUGUAUAUGUGUGUAUAUACCACACAUCUUCCUUACCCAUUUGUCUAUGGGUGGACACAGGUUGUAUCAGUGGGACUUUUAGAAGAACCUCAAACGCUGAACAUCAUGUGGGAUGAGGGCGCCCCCUGGUGUCCACAACACUGUCCAGGUGCUGGAGCUCAAGGAGACCUAGGGAGGGCCUGGCUGAGGAGAAAGGCAGCUGGGGUUCUUUCCUUAGUCCUAUGGCCGCACAUGGGGUGGAAGGUAAGGGGACAUCCCCCACUGCUCUGCUCUCAGGUGGAUUCUGACUGAAAAGCCUGAGUGGGGUCUGGACUGUAAGUCUGGUAGACAUGUCUGAGCAGAAUCCUGGGCAUCAGUGGGGAGAGGAAAAAGGUUCUGAGCAACCCUGGAGUCCACAGGGGUCAGGCUCAGGGAUGAGGCAGGAUUGCAGGAGAGGAGAGCUCAGGGCCAGUGUCAUUGCUGAGGUGUCUGUGUCCCUGUGCACCUGGUCCUCCAGCCCCGUGAUGGUGAUACAGGGAAAACGGAAAAGUAGAAACACUUCUUUGGACUCCUAUUUCUAAAUGUUUCAAAACUCAGUGAAACAAAAAUCAUUUCUGAUGUGGAAAUAGCAUCUAAAUGUCUAUACAAUGCUUCAUAGUGUGGACAUGUACACUCACAGUUUGUAAGUUGACCCCGCAUCAGGCUCUGGGCCGACAGCACUGAGUCUGCUUGGGAUUCUCUCUCUCUCCCUCCCUUUCCCUCUCUCUUUGCCCCUCCCCUGCUCGUGUACUCUCUCUCUGUCUCUC